CAGUAGCCGCGGGAAUACGUAGGUCCCGAGCGUUGUCCGGAUUUAUUGGGCGUAAAGCGAGCGCAGGCGGUUUGAUAAGUCUGAAGUUAAAGGCUGUGGCUCAACCAUAGUUCGCUUUGGAAACUGUCAAACUUGAGUGCAGAAGGGGAGAGUGGAAUUCCAUGUGUAGCGGUGAAAUGCGUAGAUAUAUGGAGGAACACCGGUGGCGAAGGCGGCUUUCUGGACUGCAACUGACGCUGAGGCUCGAAAGCGUGGGAAGCAAACAGGAUUAGAUACCCGUGUAGUCCCUGUCUCUUAUACA
Molecule: ribosomal RNA, 301 nt
Filed under: uncultured bacterium
Lineage: Bacteria
Description: partial 16S ribosomal RNA
Rfam family: Bacterial small subunit ribosomal RNA
Source: RNAcentral